RNAcentral lists this unclassified non-coding RNA (334 nucleotides) under soil metagenome. Its description in RNAcentral is "partial contains 5.8S ribosomal RNA, internal transcribed spacer 2, and large subunit ribosomal RNA". The stretch from base 1 to 120 matches the Rfam family "5.8S ribosomal RNA", at positions 35 to 154 of the family's 154-position model. The record is from RNAcentral.
GAUGAAGAACGUAGCGAAAUGCGAUAAGUAAUGUGAAUUGCAGAAUUCAGUGAAUCAUCGAAUCUUUGAACGCACAUUGCGCCCGCCAGUAUUCUGGCGGGCAUGCCUGUUCGAGCGUCAUUUCAACCAUCAAGCCCUGCUUGCGUUGGGGUCCUGCGGCUGCCCGCAGGCCCUGAAAACCAGUGGCGGGCUCGCUAGUCACACCGAGCGCAGUAAUACAUCUCGCUUUGGGCGUGCGGCGGGUUCUUGCCGUUAAACACCCCCUUUUUACCAAGGUUGACCUCGGAUCAGGUAGGAAUACCCGCUGAACUUAAGCAUUUCAAUAAGCGGAGGA